GGCCGGGUCCCGUCGUCGGUCGGCCCGUGAACCUGGUCAGGGCUUGACCGCAGCAGCCAUAAAUGGCGUCGGCCGAGCGCCGGUCAGCCUGGUCGUC
This 97-nucleotide signal recognition particle RNA is filed under the name Planctomycetota bacterium. Its description in RNAcentral is "Planctomycetes bacterium signal recognition particle sRNA small type". It matches the Rfam family "Bacterial small signal recognition particle RNA". From Rfam's summary of the family: The signal recognition particle (SRP) is a universally conserved ribonucleoprotein involved in the co-translational targeting of proteins to membranes. Archaeal SRP consists of a 7S RNA and homologues of the eukaryotic SRP19 and SRP54 proteins. Lineage: Bacteria; Pseudomonadati; Planctomycetota. The record is from RNAcentral.